This 1302-nucleotide long non-coding RNA is filed under the name Anser cygnoides (Swan goose). RNAcentral describes it as "lncRNA (ENSACDG00005005858.1)". Lineage: Eukaryota; Metazoa; Chordata; Aves; Anseriformes; Anatidae. The record is from RNAcentral.
CCGCAGGGACGGGGACCGCGGGGACGGGGGCCCGGCACCCACCUUGCCGCUCCGGGCCGCGCCCCAGGCGCUCUCCGCCGGCCGCCCCGGGGCCGUGCAGACGAGCAGCCGGCCGCGCCGCGUCGCUCUCCGUCAUCACAGGCAGCGCCGAAUCCUCGACGGCCGGGGCCGCCGGCUCGAAGCGGCCCGGGGGGCGGCCGCGGCGGGCGUCCUCGGGCACCGGCGGUGACAGCGACAGCGGCGGGGCCCGGCGGCGGCGCUGAGGGCCGUNNNNNNNNNNNNNNNNNNNNCCGGCGGCGAGGGCAGACGCUUGGCCUGCGGCAGCACCUCAAGCUCGAGCGGGGCGCUGAGCAGCGCCGGGCGGCCGCGGUCCCGCGCGUAGAGGCGCAGCGGGAUGGGGGCGCGCAGGUGGAGCAGGGAACGGACGAGCAGCACGCUCCCGCUACGCGGCACCACGAAAAAGUGCUCGCUGGGCGGGCGGGCGAAGUAGCGCAGCUCGGCGUUGGCACCCGCGUCUGCGUCCUCGGCGCGCGCCCGCCACACGGCGGAGCCGAGCGGCAGCGUCUCGUCCAGGCGGAGCCGCGCGGGGCGGGCGCCGACGAAGCGCGGGGCGUUGUCGUUGGCGUCCAGCACGCGGACGGUGAGGGCGGCCAGCGGCUCGGCGGGCGCGGCGGGGCGGCGGGCGCAGCGCAAGGCCAGGCGGAGGGCGUAAAGCGGGCGCGCCUCGCGGUCCAGCGGGCGGCGGGUGCGCAGCCAGACGCGGGCGGUGCGGGCGUGCAGCGCCGCCUGGAAGUGCGCGUGGCCCUCGCCCAGGAGCUGCAGGCGCCAGCGGCGGCCCCGCACCUGGGCACACCACGGCUGGGCGCCCAGGCGCGUCAGGGGGACGCUGAGCCCCUGUACGCGCGUGCCCGCCGGGCGGUUCUCCGCUACGCGCCCGCCGAACGACGGCGUCCUCUGCGGGGCGGCGCGGGCAGAGCCCAGCGGCAGAGCGCAGCACAGCAGCAGCAGGCAGACGGCCGCGCGCCGGGCCAUGCCGGCGGCCGGGCGGGCGCUGGGGCGCUGCGAGCAGCCGCGCCGGGACUGAGGAAGGAGGGACAGCGCGGGGGGGGCGGCCCCGCGUCCGAUCGCCGCGCCCUCGGGGCCGGGCCGGCCGGGAGGCAGCGCCGCGGGACGGGGCGGAGGCUGGGGCCGGCACCGUGCGGCGCCCUCCUGCGAGCACAGCCCCGCGGGGCGUCCGGAAGGGAGCUGCCCGCUAGCCACAGCUCCCCCGAACCCAGCUUGUCCCGCCUCCAUCCUUAUUGA